GAAGACAUGAGUUCGAUCCCUGGCCUUGCUCACUGGAUUAAGGAACCAGCAUUGCUGUUGCUGUGAACUAUGGUGUAGGCUGCCAGCAACUCAGACCUGGUGUUGCUGUGGCUGUGGUGUAGGCCGGAAGCUGUAGCUCCGAUUUGACCCCUAGCCUGGGAAUGUCCAUAUGCCACACCCGUGCUCCUUAAAAAAAAAAAAAAAAAAAAAAAAAAAAAAAAGGAACGAAAAAAAUAGUCAUGUCGUGUCUAGCUAUUGACAAAGUAGAACAGAAAUCUGUAUAAUUGUGGACUAUUAGAUUGCAAAGUGGCUCACGACAGUGUAAAAAUCUGUGCUUUCCAAUUCUGUUCUGUGACUUUGCAGAUGAGCCUCAAGGUCAACCUUCAUGGAGCAAGAGCCACCAAGUCGGGAGGGGUCACCAGGCGCUGCCCCUGCCGCAACCAGAGUAUCUCGGUUUUGGUUAAGAUUCUGUUGGAACAGAGAAGAAUUUUAAAGUUCUGGUUCCGAGUGUUUUAAAAUUCCUGAUCAUUUCCCUACAUUUUAUAGGUGAGAAAACAGACCUGAGAAGCAGUGUCUUUGCUCAGUCUCUCCACGUGUUUGUGGCAUGUUCCUCAGCUUGGAACCCCCCUGGGUCCUGGCCUGGUGAGCAUUCCUCCCCAGCUCCCCGACACCUGCUUUCGGUACAGGAAACUUGUCAGGGGUGCACCAACUGUGUUCCGUGUGGUCACAUGACCUGGGUCAGUCUCACGCCAGCCGUUCCCUGGAAGUCACCCGGGGUAGACCGAGUAUCCCCUUUGCACGUGGGGCUGUGCCGACGGAGGCCUUCUUCAGCAUGAGUCCUCAGUUGACUGAUGAAUACAAAACACCUCUGGGAACAAAAGGCAUUCAAGAUUCGCUGAAGACAAGACAACCUACUUUGGUUUCUGUGUCUGGUACCGGGGUAUCAGCGGAGAUAAAGCCCUGAGUGACAGGGAAGCGAAAUACAGAAUAACACCCUCUAUUGUUCUCCCAUUGACGGUACGUAUAAUGGGAAAGUUAGCGAGUCACCGUAAUGUCAUGGACCGCUGUGAACUUGGGAGAACUCAAGGAUCAGAAAGUAACAUGAAACAAGGAGGGAAAGCAAGAUAAUAUUGGGUUACUGAACAUUCUCAAAUUGUACUGAAACGCAUCCCAUCCCUUUGGAGGGGGCAUGUUUUUGACCAGGAAGACAAUGGGCAGAAACUGGCGGCUGUAAUGAUAUCACCAUUUUCUUUUGCUACGGGCCGUAAUGUGAACUCCUUAGAAGACACCUUCUUUCACCACAGCUUUGUUGUUGGGGCUAUUGAGGAGCCCAGAGACCAAAGUCGCUGCCUUGUUCCGGGAUCAUCUAAAACCAAGGAGGCUGG
This 1385-nucleotide long non-coding RNA is filed under the name Sus scrofa (pig). RNAcentral describes it as "lncRNA (ENSSSCG00025073159.1)". The record is from RNAcentral. Lineage: Eukaryota; Metazoa; Chordata; Mammalia; Artiodactyla; Suidae.